Molecule: long non-coding RNA, 284 nt
Organism: Arabidopsis thaliana (thale cress)
Lineage: Eukaryota; Viridiplantae; Streptophyta; Magnoliopsida; Brassicales; Brassicaceae
Product: other RNA
Exons: 1
Source: RefSeq
CGGCGGUGGUUUUAUUCCGAUCAGCGGUCGAGACGAAGCAGACGCACUGGGGUCAUAGCUCGGAAGCCAAAAAUAAAAUGUGAAAAAUUGGAGAGAGAGAAAGUGUAGAAGGUUACGACUGAGUCAUUUGCUGUUAGAGAGAAGAUGGAAGAUCCGAGGAAGAGGAGAGAGCGUGGGAGCGGGAACGAAGAAGAAGACGACGACUUUUCCGUUUUCUGAGGUUAGAAGAAGAAAUAAUGAUCCUCUGUGGUAGAGUGCACCGUUAUGCCAGGGACGUGCGUGCA